ACAAAAUAAUAUAAAUCAACAUUUAAUAUUAUUACAACUUCUUUCUUAAACAAAAUUUAACUUUAAUCCUCUCUUAAAACUCAAUUUCAUGGAUAUUUUCUUAUUCAUCAUUUCUCUUGUCUGCUUUUUGCUUUUUCAAUUUUCCAAGUAUCGUCUGCUUAUUUUUUCCCCAUUUUUUUCUAUUUCAAAAUUCAAAUUUAUCCUACAAUUUACUUUAAAAUUUAUAUUAUGUCAAUUUUCAAAAAUCUAACAAUCUACUCCUACAACAUUCCUGGCCUACUUUCAAAAACAACUAUACUUAGGAAACUCCUUGAUCAAUAUGAUAUUAACAUUAUUUUAACACAAGAAUCUCUUAUUACCAAUAAUAUAUAAAAAAAAAUAACAAAACAAAAAAGAGAAAACAAAAAAAAAAUAAAUAAAUUACAAAAACUAAUUCUUCUUCCUCUUACUCCUUAAUCACCCCGCACCCUCCCCUUUUUUCUAAUACAUAUUCCUAUCUUAUCUUUUAUAAUAAAUAAACAUUAUUUACAAUGUGGAUCCUGCUUAUCCACGAGUGGUACCCGUCAACCCACUCAAAUUAAACGGGACCCUGACAGUAGGGUAAAUUACUGUCAACUUUGUGGAUCCUGGCUUAUCCACGAGUGGUACCUGUCAUCCCACUCAAAUUAAACAGGACCCAGACAGUAGGGUAAAUUUUCUGCCAAACAGUGAAUGCAAAUUCACUGCACUGGAGACGCCCUCUAUGGGGUGGUGGAGUGCCCACUUAAUUGUGGGAUGUCUCCCCAGUGUAUAAUAUGAUAUGAAAAUAGUGAGACGCCUAAGCUCACUGAAAGACUGAUAGACAUACAUUAUAUGGGAAAUACAAAUGGUCUCGAUAUUAAAAAGAACAUAAUAUACAAACUUGGCUCCAUGAAUUUACCUCUUGUAGUCCUAGUUGGGCAAAGCUAUGAUGGUGUCUCAAACUUGAGUGGAAGAAUCAAUGGAGUGCCCGCUUUGAUUAGAGCGGAGGUGCCAAAGGCAGCUUUUAUUUGGUGCUAUUGUCAUCGAUUAAAUUUAAUCAUUGUUCAAUUAUGUCAUCAAUAAAUAAAUUACGAAAUGUUUUAGGAAUAUUAGACAAGAUUAUAUAUAUUUUAAUGGUGUUAAAAGAUAUGAGGUGCUCAAAGCAUAUCAGAGUAAUGCACUGACAAAAUCGCAACAAUUUCUAUGCAUUAAGAAUACCACCCAGUAAUAUUAUCUUAUUUGUUUAAAUAGAAGCUGGCUAUCGUCUAUUCUUAUAAAGCUAUUUUAAAUUUUUUUCUACUUUAUGAUGCCUUGAGGGCAGCUUUAACAAAUUUAAAGGAUUCUGAAGAUUUGUCACUUUUACUAUGGCUAGUGCUAUAGUCUUUAGAGUAGAAAAAUUUGAUUUUAUUAUCACUUUGUGUUUUGGAUAAAAUAUUAUUGAUAACAAGUUUGGCUUGGACAAAAUUGCAAACCAUUUUGAAGAAUAUAGGAUUUGCAAUAAAUCAAAUUCAAUUGACAAAAGAUUGCUUGAUUAAUUUGAAAAGCACAAGAUUUUAUGAAGGAGAGUACCUUUUGAUUUUGAAAGUUCUAGACUUCAAACAUUACAAUCCAAAAUGGAGAGCUUUAAAAUAGGUGUGUUUUAUGCUGCACUUUGAUUUGAUUAUUAUGCAGUUAAUGAAAGAUUUAAUGAUGAAUUGAUGAAAUUUUAAAAUCAAACAUCAUUUUUUACACCAAAGGGAAUGGUAGAAAAGUCAACUAUUAAAGAAGAUAUCAAGGAUAUCUGUGAAUUUUACUAUUUACAAGUCAAAUUUUCAAAGAAAUGUUGAAGUUUAGAAAUAUUUAUAAGAUGGCCAAAAUGGGGGAUGUAAUUAUUAUUCAUGACCUAGAGGUUCAAGAAAGAUUUGUCAGAUUCUGAGAAUUCUUCUUCUGAUGAUUAUAAUUCAGGGACUUAUGAUUCAGAUUGGAAAAACUAUUCAUUUAUUUUACCUUAUCGUCUACCUUUAAAUUUUUCUGCUUUCUCUAAUUAAACAAUUUAAUAUAAAUAUUUAAUAACCAUUCCUACAACCUCAUGUACUGUCGAAAGAGUCAUGAGUAAAAUUAAAUUAAUUAAAACAAGAUUUCGUAAUCAUCAUGAAAGAUCCAUUUCUCAAUAAUUUAACCAGGGAAAAAAUUUAUUUAAACAAUUAAAUAUUGAUGAAAUUAUAAAUUCUUUCGUUUUC
Molecule: long non-coding RNA, 2219 nt
Organism: Gordionus sp. m RMFG-2023
Lineage: Eukaryota; Metazoa; Nematomorpha; Gordioida; Chordodea; Parachordodidae
Exons: 4
Source: RefSeq, a predicted model, not a curated record